This 212-nucleotide unclassified non-coding RNA is filed under the name soil metagenome. RNAcentral describes it as "partial contains 5.8S ribosomal RNA, internal transcribed spacer 2, and large subunit ribosomal RNA". The record is from RNAcentral.
AACAAGGCGUACCUGCGGACCUGCGGAGGGAUCAUUACAAGUGACCCCGGUCUAACCACCGGGAUGUUCAUAACCCUUUGUUGUCCGACUCUGUUGCCUCCGGGGCGACCCUGCCUUCGGGCGGGGGCUCCGGGUGGACACUUCAAACUCUUGCGUAACUUUGCAGUCUGAGUAAACUUAAUUAAUAAAUUAAAACUUUCAGCAACGGAUCU